This 434-nucleotide ribosomal RNA is filed under the name uncultured bacterium. Its description in RNAcentral is "partial 16S ribosomal RNA". It matches the Rfam family "Bacterial small subunit ribosomal RNA", at positions 29 to 507 of the family's 1533-position model. The record is from RNAcentral.
AGCGAACGCUGGCGGCAGGCCUAACACAUGCAAGUCGAACGAACCUUUCGGGGUUAGUGGCGGACGGGUGAGUAACACGUGGGAACGUGCCUUUAGGUUCGGAAUAACUCAGGGAAACUUGUGCUAAUACCGAAUGUGCUCUUCGGGGGAAAGAUUUAUCGCCUUUAGAGCGGCCCGCGUCUGAUUAGCUAGUUGGGUGAGGUAAUGGCUCACCAAGGCGACGAUCAGUAGCUGGUCUGAGAGGAUGAUCAGCCACAUUGGGACUGAGACACGGCCCAAACUCCUACGGGAGGCAGCAGUGGGGAAUCUUGCGCAAUGGGCGAAAGCCUGACGCAGCCAUGCCGCGUGAAUGAUGAAGGUCUUAGGAUUGUAAAAUUCUUUCACCGGGGACGAUAAUGACGGUACCCGGAGAAGAAGCCCCGGCUAACUUCGUG